CCUACGGGGGGCAGCAGUGAGGAAUAUUGGUCAAUGGCCGCAGGGCUGAACCAGCCAAGUCGCGUGAGGGAUGACGGUCCUAUCGAUUGUAAACCUCUUUUGUCAGGGAGCAAAGGGCGCCACGUGUGGCGCUUUGCGAGUACCUGAAGAAAAAGCAUCGGCUAACUCCGUGCCAGCAGCCGCGGUAAUACGUAGGGGGCAAGCGUUAUCCGGAUUCACUGGGCGUAAAGGGAGCGCAGGCGGCAUGGCAAGUCUGAUGUGAAAACCAGGGGCCCAACCCCGGGAGUG
Molecule: ribosomal RNA, 288 nt
Filed under: uncultured bacterium
Lineage: Bacteria
Description: partial 16S ribosomal RNA
Rfam family: Bacterial small subunit ribosomal RNA
Source: RNAcentral